GAGGUAGUGACAAGAAAUAACAAUACGGGGCUUAACGUCUUGUAAUUGGAAUGAUGGGAAUCUAAACCUCUUCCAGAGUAUCAAUUGGAGGGCAAGUCUGGUGCCAGCAGCCGCGGUAAUUCCAGCUCCAAUAGCGUAUAUUAAAAUUGUUGCAGUUAAAAAGCUCGUAGUUGAAUUUCUGCCGCCCCGCCUCUGCCCCUCGACGGGCGUUUGCGCCGCGGCUUUUUCGGAUUAUGCUUGCAUUUUCCGAGUGUUACUUUGAGAAAAUUAGAGUGCUCAAAGCAGGCUUUUGCCUUGAAUAGUUUAGCAUGGAAUAAUAGAGUAGGACUUUGGUUCUAUUUUGUUGGUUUUAGGUACCAAAGUAAUGGUUAAUAGGAACAGUUGGGGGCAUUCGUAUUUAACUGUCAGAGGUGAAAUUCUUAGAUUUGUUAAAGACGAACUACUGCGAAAGCAUUUGCCAAGGAUGUUUUCAUUAAUCAAGAACGAAAGUUAGGGGAUCGAAGA
Molecule: ribosomal RNA, 504 nt
Filed under: Theileria uilenbergi
Lineage: Eukaryota; Apicomplexa; Aconoidasida; Piroplasmida; Theileriidae
Description: SSU rRNA
Rfam family: Eukaryotic small subunit ribosomal RNA
Source: RNAcentral